Long non-coding RNA from Cryptomeria japonica (Japanese cedar), 1595 nucleotides. RefSeq lists it as uncharacterized. The transcript has 2 exons. Lineage: Eukaryota; Viridiplantae; Streptophyta; Pinopsida; Cupressales; Cupressaceae. The record is from RefSeq and is a predicted model, not a curated record.
AUUAGUAGUGUUUUUUUUUUGUUUUCUUGGCAUAUUUUAUGCAUAAAAGAUUGAUAUUGGGGAUAGUUUUGUCUGUAACUCUUGUUUCUGUAUAUUUUAAAAUUGGAUGCACAGAAGUUAUGCUAUACCCAGGGUCCAAAAAGAAAACCGCAGCCCCCUUACCUAAACCUGUACCUGUACGUGAACCAGUAACUUAAGAGAAAGCUGUAUAGUUGCAUACAACUUAUUUCUCUCUUUUUAUUGCCGAGGAUGUAAUAUAUUGUCUUUGUCAAAAAUAAUACUCGGAGGUCUUACCGAAACCUGUAAGCUUUUUUAGAGACCACAUUCAGAUUGGCUGUGCUGUUGCUAUUAUCUUUGCAGUUCUGCUUGUUACUAAAAUGGUAGUUUACUUUCUUUGUUCAAUCUUCUCCAAUUUCCUGUUGAACAGCAUCUCUUUUGUUGAAUCCGUCAAGGAAAGGUAGAGCAUCUCUUUUUAUCAAAAAGGUAAUGUCUUCUUCUCAAAGGCUGUUAUAGAAAGAAUGCCCAUCUAACAAAACUGCUAUCUUAUGUCUAAAUUUGUGUAACUUAAAGUUAAGGAUUCAUGGAUAUAUCCUAUGUUUGUAACAACAAAUCUUAAUUCCCUGUAGCUGCAAAAGAGGAAUUUGAUGUGUGGACAGGAAAGAAGCUGACAAGAGCUUCAACUAAAUGGGACAGUGACCAAUAGAUGAAACUCCUCCAUUGGUUGAAGCAAUGUGGAAGGAAUUUCAAGGUGAUGGACAUGGAAGCUUACGAGGAGGACAUGAAUUAGUCAGACUAGCCUAUAAACAGGAUGAAGAGCCUAACACUAAAAAAGGGUGCAACAACAAGUUCUAGAAAGCAUUUGAGGGAUGUGGGGAAGGAACCUGUCCUAUUGGCUCGUGACACCUCCCGAUUAUUCAACAGUCCUAUGGAGAGAGAAGAAAUAGAGUGCAAUCACCUGUACCCCCGUUGACAACUGUUGUUGUAACCUUUUUCAGCAUAUGCAGAAGAGAAAAAGGAAAGGCAAUAUGCAGCUUGUGGAAGACGCUGCAACUGUGAAGAUGGGUUAAGGUGCCUUUUUGUUGGGACCAAUUUUUUUUUAUAAUGUUGGGGGUUUGAAAGUGGAUGAUUUGGCUGAAAGCCAUAUCAAUGAAGACCUGACUGAAAACCUUAUAGCUAAGGAACACAAGACUAAGGGUAUUCAGGUCCAAGUAGGUGCUGUUAAGGGCCAGGAAGGAAUUAAAACCUGGAGAAGCUAAGAGUGGGCACAUACAUGAUCACUGGAUGAGGUUUGCCAUUUCAGGAGUCAUUGAUUUCCAAAGAGUAGUUAUGUAGGAAGGAAGCAUGACAGCCAACAAAGACCUCCUCAUGCAGAGAACUCACAAUAGUUGCCAAUGCUCAGGUGCAGGCACCCGCCCAAGAAAAUGCAGCUUUCCAAUGGUAUGUUUUCUUCUUCAUUUUUGGUUCGUUUUUAUGGAGCUUAUGAUGGCUUGGAAUUCUGCUUUUGGUUUGUGGGGGCUCUCUUUUUUGUCUAGUUACCUUGAAGUGGAGGAAAAGAAAGAUAUGAAAUAUCAAAUAAGAAUAUUUUUGAGAGCUUA